This 274-nucleotide ribosomal RNA is filed under the name uncultured bacterium. Its description in RNAcentral is "partial 16S ribosomal RNA". It matches the Rfam family "Bacterial small subunit ribosomal RNA", at positions 523 to 796 of the family's 1533-position model. The record is from RNAcentral.
AUACGGAGGGUGCAAGCGUUACUCGGAAUCACUGGGCGUAAAGCGCGCGCAGGCGGUCUUUUCAGUUGGAUGUGAACGCCUACGGCUCAACCGUAGAACUGCAUCCAAAACUAUUAGACUAGAGUGUGGGAGAGGAAGAUGGAAUUAGUUGUGUAGGGGUAAAAUCCGUAGAGAUAACUAGGAAUACCAAAAGCGAAGGCAAUCUUCUGGAACACUACUGACGCUGAGGCGCGAAAGCGUGGGGAGCAAACAGGAUUAGAAACCCGAGUAGUCC